UACGAGGGGGGCAAAUGUUGUUCGGAAUCACUGGGCGUAAAGGGAGCGUAGGCGGGUUCUUAAGUAAGGUGUUUAAUCCCGGGGCCCAACCCCGGACCGGCACUUUAAACUGGGAAUCUUGAAUAGUGGAGAGGUCGGUGGAAUUGGGGGUGUAGCGGUGGAAUGCGUAGAGAUCCCCAAGAACACCAGUUGCGAAGGCGGCCGACUGGACACAUAUUGACGCUGAGACACGAAAGCCAGGGGAGCGAACGGG
RNAcentral lists this ribosomal RNA (253 nucleotides) under uncultured bacterium. RNAcentral's name for it is "partial 16S ribosomal RNA". It matches the Rfam family "Bacterial small subunit ribosomal RNA", at positions 524 to 776 of the family's 1533-position model. The record is from RNAcentral.